This 254-nucleotide ribosomal RNA is filed under the name uncultured bacterium. RNAcentral describes it as "partial 16S ribosomal RNA". It matches the Rfam family "Bacterial small subunit ribosomal RNA", at positions 524 to 776 of the family's 1533-position model. The record is from RNAcentral.
UACGGAGGAGGCAAGCGUUAUCCGGAAUUAUUGGGCGUAAAGCGUCCGUAGACGGUCGCUUCAAGUCUGCUGUCAAAGACCGGGGCUUAACCCCAGAAAAGCAGUGGAAACUGAACAGCUAGAGAGAGGUAGGGGUAGAGGGAAUUCCCGGUGUAGCGGUGAAAUGCGUAGAGAUCGGGAAGAACAUCGGUGGCGAAAGCGCUCUACUGGACCGCAACUGACACUCAGGGACGAAAGCUAGGGGAGCGAAUGGG